RNAcentral lists this ribosomal RNA (228 nucleotides) under uncultured bacterium. RNAcentral's name for it is "partial 16S ribosomal RNA". It matches the Rfam family "Bacterial small subunit ribosomal RNA", at positions 57 to 305 of the family's 1533-position model. The record is from RNAcentral.
GCAAGUCGAGCGAGAAAGCCUUCGGGUGGUGGACAGUGGCGCACGGGUGAGUAACACGUGGGGACCUGCCUGAUAGUAAGGGACAACAGUUUGAAAAGACUGCUAAUACCUUAUACGCCCUUUUGGGGAAAGAUUUAUCGCUAUCAGAUGGACCCGCGCUAGAUUAGAUAGUUGGUGAGGUAAUGGCUCACCAAGUCUACGAUCUAUAGCUGGUUUGAGAAGAUGAUC